This 565-nucleotide ribosomal RNA is filed under the name uncultured ciliate. Its description in RNAcentral is "SSU rRNA". It matches the Rfam family "Eukaryotic small subunit ribosomal RNA", at positions 394 to 972 of the family's 1831-position model. The record is from RNAcentral. Lineage: Eukaryota; Ciliophora.
GCCUGAGAAACGGCUACCACAUCUAAGGAAGGCAGCAGGCGCGUAAAUUACCCAAUCGCGACUCGCGGAGGUAGUGACAAGAAAUAACGGACCGAAGCCUAUGUUUCGGGAUUGCAAUGAGUAGAAUUUAAACCCCUUUACGAGGAUCAAUUGGAGGGCAAGUCUGGUGCCAGCAGCCGCGGUAAUUCCAGCUCCAAUAGCGUAUAUUAAAGUUGUUGCAGUUAAAAAGCUCGUAGUUGGACUUCUGGGAGGGUGCCAAUGUCCGCUCGUUAGCGUGUGCAGCGGCGCCCUUCCAUCCUUCUGUUAACGUUUCUUGGUAUUCAGUUACUGGUUUCGGGCUCAGAUAUUUUACCUUGAGAAAAUUAGAGUGUUUCAGGCAGGCUUGCGCCGGAAUACAUUAGCAUGGAAUAAUAGAAUAGGACUUUAGUCUCCUUUGUUGGUUUGAGGGACUGAAGUAAUGAUUAAUAGGGAUAGUUGGGGGCAUUAGUAUUUAAUUGUCAGAGGUGAAAUUCUCGGAUUUGUUAAAGACUAACUUAUGCGAAAGCAUUUGCCAAGGAUGUUUUCA